GACGAACGCUGGCGGCGUGCUUAACACAUGCAAGUCGAACGGAAAGGCCCUGCUUUUGUGGGGUGCUCGAGUGGCGAACGGGUGAGUAACACGUGAGUAACCUGCCCUUGACUUUGGGAUAACUUCAGGAAACUGGGGCUAAUACCGGAUAGGAGCUCCUGCUGCAUGGUGGGGGUUGGAAAGUUUCGGCGGUUGGGGAUGUACUCGCGGCUUAUCAGCUUGUUGGUGGGGUAGUGGCUUACCAAGGCUUUGACGGGUAGCCGGCCUGAGAGGGUGACCGGCCACAUUGGGACUGAGAUACGGCACAGACUCCUACGGGAGGCAGCAGUGGGGAAGAUUGCACAAUGGGCGGAAGCCUGAUGCAGCAACGCCGCGUGCGGGAUGACGGGCUUCGGGUUGUAAACCGCUUUCGCCUGUGACGAAGCGUGAGUGACGGUAAUGGGUAAAGAAGCACCGGCUAACUACGUG
This 468-nucleotide ribosomal RNA is filed under the name uncultured bacterium. RNAcentral's name for it is "partial 16S ribosomal RNA". It matches the Rfam family "Bacterial small subunit ribosomal RNA", at positions 28 to 507 of the family's 1533-position model. The record is from RNAcentral.